Molecule: transfer RNA, 51 nt
Filed under: Bronchocela cristatella (Green crested lizard)
Lineage: Eukaryota; Metazoa; Chordata; Lepidosauria; Squamata; Agamidae
Description: tRNA-Cys
Source: RNAcentral
AGACCCAGGAGAAAACUCAUAGCCAAAUUUGCAAUUUGGCGAUUCUGGGCC